GAAAGGGGGUAGGGUGGAAUGGAGGGAGGAGGAGAAAACACCCUUUGUUAGCAUGUGAAAAAUGCAGUGUUUUAAGGACUUAGAGUCAUUAGAGAUGGGAACAGUUCUAGCUUGUGAAAUGAUUUCAGAGAUGCUGAUUUGGUUUGGUUUGGUUUGGUUUGGUUUGGUUUGGUUUGGUUUGGUUUGGUUUGGUUUGGUUUGGGGCUAUUGUCAUUUUGUUUAAGGUUAUUUGUCUGUUUAAACAAAUCUGUGAGCCAGGGUAUUUCCUAGCUCUAAGCUGCUUCCUAUCCAUGUCUUGAGGUACAUUCCUGCAGCUGUCUUUGGAACUGUUGGUUCCUAAGUUCCUUUUAGCUGAAGUGGCUAGCACAACAUCGAGUUGAGCUUUGGAAGCCUUAGAACAGUGUUUCCACGGUGCAGUCUGUGGAACAAGCACAGCAGAUCACCUGACACCUUACUGGGAAUGUGUGUACUAGACCCCCAACCCAGCUUAUGAAUCAUACUCUCUGGGCACAGAACCCAAUGAUGUGAAUUUGGUCAGCCUCGCAAGUGAUUCUAAUGUGUCACUGGGAACCAUUUAUUUUCAAAAGAAAAAUUGCCAUGGUGGCAGAUAUGCUCUACAAGGUGCCCAGCUGAAGCUCAAGCCUGGGAGAGUAUCACUGAGGUGUUGUGUCAGGCAGGCCACACCUGGCCGGGGAAAGACUGAAACUGUAGAGGGGCAUGGAGCUAACUGGCCAUGACAUCUCCAUUUUUCUCCUUUGCCACUAUGACUAAGUAGUAGCUUUUCCACACUGAAUCAGAGAAGGUGGGCACAAAGUGUGAGAGGAGAAAAGUCAACACAGGCAGGAAAUAACCAUUUCAGUCACAGAAUCUGCUACUGGGAAAGCUGAGAGGCAAGUGCAGAAGUGUCACUCUGGAACAGAAGUCUCAAGAGGAAACCAUAUAUUUUCCCACAAUCCUGUGGGAGUAUGUCCUUUUCCAUGGCCCUGUAUGGAGGAGGGUUGUGGACUGAUUUUUGUCAGUCCCUAAGCUGUGUACUAAAAAGUAAUUGUCAGCUGGAGACUAAUUGUAAUUUAGUUCUAGAGAGCCAGUUUGAGCACAGUGGUUUGGUUUUAAUUUUAAUAGUUGUGUAAUAAUAAUAUUAGGCCAAAACAUAGUUAAUGUCCUUCCUCUCUGAAAUAUACGUAAUCAAGCCAGCUAAAAGAUCUUUUUUUUCUUCCUUUGUUGUUUUUAAAGUCAGAAAUGAAAAAUGAAGGGUCUAGGAGACAUGAAAGAUUCUCAAACACUGGACACUAGAGUGUCAGGUCCUCCGAGCCCAACCUCACACCUUUCUAAAUGCUGUCCCUUAAUGGUGGCAGGGAAAAAUUAUGUCCCAAACAGAGGAAGAGCUUUAGACCCCCAUGCAGGCCAGCUCUGCUCACAUCGCAUUAUCUCUAGAUUCAUUUUUAAAGAUAUUUAACCUUCAUAAUUGUUUUCAUUAUGAUACAAUUGAACAUUUUUUAUUUAGCCAGUCAAAUGGUCUAUUUUUUGUAAUUUUCCCUUUUAUAUUAGAAAAACUGUAUAACCCUCUUCUUGUAUAAUUAUGUUCUUUUAUCUUGUUAAGCACAAAAAUAGAUACAUUCGCCUUGACUAAAAGAUACUUGGUAUAAUUCUGCUGGUCAGUGUCCAGCAAACAUCUUAAAAUAGUUUUUUAGAGUCACAUUAAAUCAAAAUUGAAGUUAGUCACUUAAUUUAAAAAGAUGUAUUAUAAUGAAACUAUAACAAAAUCUGUUGUGUGUAAAUGAGAUAGGGUUGGGACAGAUUCUAGUUGUGGCUAAAGGCUAGCAUCUAGGGAAACUAAUUGAGAGAUUACUGCAUAGCUCUUUUUGGUUUUGUUUUUAGUUGGGGAAGAUAGGAUCUCUUUCUGGAUCCCAGGCUAGCUGUAAACUUGGCCUUCACACCAGGAUCAAGACAUACUUAAAUAAAAAAUAGUUGCAACUGUAUUUCAAAGAAAACAGUAAUUUAUCAUUAUGAAUAUUAAUUUCAUAAUGCAGUUGAAUAUCUUCAAAUUGCAUGUUUUUUCAGUUAACUUGAAAUACAUUCGUUUGGUUUUGGCUUGUUUUGAGAUAGGAUAUCACCAUGUAGCUCUGGUUGUCCUGGAACUCACUACCUAUGUAGACCAUGCUUGCCCCAGAUUUAAACAUCUGCCUGCCUCUGCCUCCUCAGUGCCAGGAUUCAAGAUGUGCCACCACACCGGACAAUUUGGUAUUGUCUUGAUAAGUGACAAAAAUAAAAAGACACACACUACCAGCAGCCAUAUUUUUUUGUGUAGUUUUCAAGUGGUGGUGGUCUGUAUUCAAACCAAUUUUUAUGAUGUAUCUUUGAGCUCAAAGGAAUGACUGUCAGAUUUUUAUAGGUUGACUCUAAUGCAGAAAAACUUCCCCAAGUCUUUGAUUUUACAGUUUCUGUCACCAUUGUGAGCAUCUGCAGCAGCUGCACUUCUCAAAUUAUUUGCUGAACCAAAUUGAGCACAGUGACAAAGUAGUCAUCUCCGAUGGGCUAUUAAACAGAGAGGAGCGGUCUGCACACAGCAGAGCAUCUGUUGUGCACAUGGCGUCCUAUAGAAGGACGCAAGAUAAAAUAAUUGUCAAAAUUUUUUCAUUAAACCCUCAACAAUUUGCACUUGUUUAUCUGAAUCUGCAUAGCUCCCCAAUGAGACAACACACUUGGGGUUUCUUUGCUUCUCCCUCACUUUUCUUUGAUCCUUUUUGAUGUGCUGACUUUAAUAAACACAGUCAAAAACACUGUGCAAGAACAUCAUGGAAAAAACUACAAAGGAACGGCCCAGCAACAGAGCUCUGCUAAUCCCUAACUUACGCAGGCUAUUUUUAGAGAAAUAUUUUUUUAACACUCUUUAUGUGACAAUGUUAUAUAAACAGGGAAAAGCAGUCCUUCCCAGAUGAAUUUUAAUUUAAGAGCUGAAAUAGAUUUGUAAUUCUAGAGGAAUCCUAUGUGCUAAGUAAUUCUUAGAGAAACACCAUUGGGAAUGUGCUGUAGGCAUGUUCCCUCACUUGUCAAGAAGACCAAGAAAAAAAUGAGUUUGCCUAAUGAUUUUUUUUUAUCAUCUAAGCUAUUAGAAACCUAUGGAAAGUAUGUGGGGAAAGGGAAUAUAAAAGCAUGAAACAAGAAAGCUAAUGUUUGCUGGGCAGUGGUGGCGCACACCUUUAAUCCCAGCACUUGGAAGGCAGAGGCGGGCUGAUUUCUGAGUUCGAGGCCAGCCUGGUCUACAGAGUGAGUUCCAGGACAGCCAGGGCUACACAGAGAAACCCUGUCUCGGAAAAACCAAAAAAAAAAAAAGAAAGAAAAAAAAGAAAGCUAAUGUUUUUCCUCAAACGUUGAUACAUUUGUGCAACCUAGAGAGCUUUAAUAUUCACUUACUCGUUUUAAAAAUAAUAUAGUAGAAAUUAUUAACUGAGCUUGUUAAAAGAAUUCCCAUUUUCAUUUUGCAGAAUACAAUAUAAUACUUCUAAACUAUGACUAUUUCAAGGGACUUUCUAUUCCUCCACUCUGCAGAUGCUUGUGCAGCCAUGAAUCUUACAACUAACUCCUCUCUCCUAGAACACUUAUGUUCUCCCAUGUGUCUUAAUAAAAUCGCGAUUGCCGUCUGAUUGUAGAUGUGAUGCUUGUAAUAUAACAGGAAAUCUUAUGAGGGCUCUGCCAGUAACAAGAAUCUAAGUUAGAGCCAGGCAGUGGUGGUUCAUGCCUUUAAUCCCAGCACUUGAGAGGCAGAGGCAGGCAGAUUUCUGAGUUCAAGGACAGCCAGGGCUACACAGAGAAACCCUGUCUCGGGGAAAAAAAGAGAAUCUAAGAUAGAAAUUGUAUCAUAUAUUCUGAAAUAUUUUAAAGUCAAUAGUAUUUCUUUGGUAUCUAUUAAAUCUGUCUCAUAGUAUAGUAUGUUCUUUAAACAGUUGCCACACAAACACACUGCCGCCAACAUGGGCACACAGUGCCGAUCCCUUUUGCUGUUUGAAGCAUGUCAUUUUGGAGACACGCAAAGUAUGUAGUUAUAAAUUCUGAACUGACAGCGAGUCUCUUUCCACAGGAGGGUGGGGACUGAGCUUACACUUUAGCUACCCUGUCAGGGUAAUUUAUGGCUCUAUUAAGAUGGCACGCCUUAGAUUUCUGCAAACAAGAGGACACAGUUUAGAGCUGUGAAAUCAUUGGACUUGAGCUUGCCUUGCUCCUUCUCGGAGCCAAUUAACAUGGCAACCUUUAAAUAGACUAAGAAAAAGAGGAACACAGCUGGAACACAAAGGAAACACAAAGGAAAAUAACCUGGGUGAAGCUGUUAGAAGUGGGAAACCAUUGACAAGACUGAGGACUUUUCUCCCAAGCAGUGACUUGAGCUCAUUGUCAAAGGAACAGUGGCUUUAAUCACUUUCCCUGAUCUUUCUGUAGUUAACUUGGUAUAUAAACUAAGAGAGAGAAAGGAAGUAAAGCCAUUCUUUUCCAUGAAAUUACCAGUAAAACAUUUAUUAUAACAGAAGCUAGCACUCCCUUCAUGCUCUGCAAGUGAAACCAGGUCAUUGGUGCAGAGUGGAGCUCCCACACUUCUGCUGUGCUGCAGUACCCUGAGAGAAGACUGUCUGCUUUGGAUGCUUCAGAGAUGCAUGUUAGCCUGGUGGGAAGUAAAGCAUGAAAUUAGGUCUGACUACCUCAAAUCCUGUGUUGCAGCAGUGAGCUGUUUACAGCACCCCAAAGACUCUUGCUGUUCUCAGAAAGAAAUGCAUCUCUUUCCAGUGUCUGAACAAUGAGAAAUGAAUUUCUUGACAGUUAAAGUCAGGGCAGAUUUAACUUUUAAGGAUCCACUGAUGAUGGAAGCAUAAAUAUAGCUAGUUGACAGUUAUACAAACCACCAACGAUCCUUAAUGAAUACUGGGUGUGGGCAUCAAGGCCCUGUCAAUUUUGACAUUUUGACCAAGUAGCUUAAACCCAACACUCAAGAAAAAGUUGAAUGCUCGCUGGUCUAUAACAUCUGGGAUUUUAUUUGUCAUUUUGGAGUAACUGGCAAGUGCAAAAGAAAGAGUAAAGGGGGAUUAUCUUGACAAUGAAAUGAGUUACUCAAUCUUGUGAUAAUGAAAAGCAGAAGAAUUCUAAUGCCUUUCUGUAGUCCCUGAGGUAGAGGUACGUUUAUGAUUUUUGCAGAAGUAAAAUGUAGGCAGGCAGAACAGAUGGCCUAGAGUCCAUGAAACAUAAUAGCUCCCCAUCCCUGGACUGAGCGCCACUAUUAAUCCCAGGCAGAUUCUCUCCUAUGACUCUAUAAGAAGGUUCAAAGUCGCUACUGCUCAGCUAGUAUUGCCUCUUUUUUUACUCUGAAAUUACUCAUGACUUAUUUUGAUAUGUGAGAAUAGUUUUCUGUGCAUUCUGGUAAACUAUUGAGGCAUUCUCCAAAAAGUGGGAGGUCCUAAACUUUAAAAUGAAAUAAAAACUAAUAAAAAAUUUAUAAUUUCUCCCAUAAUACUUCAUAUUAUUUCUCUAAUAUGGUGAAAAAUAAAACCUAACAAUAUGAGACCCAACAUUUAAAUCUCUUGGUUGUGAUCAUUACGUGUGUGAGUAGAUAAAGUAUUAGACAAUAAUGAACAGUAUCAAUCCUCAAGAAAGGUCAAUUUUAUGUUUUAUGUAGUUCUGUGUGUAUGAUUGGGGGGCGGUGCAUAUGCCACAGCACGUGUGUAGACCAGAAGACAAUUCUGUGGACUUACUUCUAAUGUCCCAUCUUUACGGGGUUCUGGGGAUCAGAAUCAAAUCAUCAGCAUGCACAGCCAGUGCCAUUACGUCAUCUCAGGAUCCUGGGCGGGGGGCGGGGGGCGAGGGGCGGGGAGGGGGAGAAUGAAUGAAUGAAUGAAUGAAUGAAUGGGAAUGUUUAGUAUGUUUAAAAACAAGUUGAUUUUUUGCUAUUUGGACAUGUUUUGUCUUGGACAUAUAUUGUGUUGAAAUAGUUAGGCCCACAUCUUUGAUUUUGUAAUAUAUAUUUGUUCUGUGAUUUAAAAAAAGCUAUGACUAUAAAAUGCUUAUCAUUUGUCACGUACAUUUUGUGUUUUAGUGCUGAUGUAGUCUCCAAAUCUGCCAAUCAGGAAUGAUUUAAAAUUCAGAGUAUAAUAACUUCAGAGAAGUAGAAGGAUAACCACUAUAUUGAAUCUCAUAUGUAUUCAAGGAUACAUGCAAAAUGAAAGCUUUCUAAUGAGCCACAGAACAGGGCUAUGGGGGCAGUCUCCUGUGUAGUGGUGAACAUGAUGUACCUGCCCAGCCUUCGAGAGGGGAUGAGCUCACAUCAGGAAGAUAACCAUCUCUGACUUUUUCUUCUGAUUCAUCACUGACCUGAACUCCAUGUGAACCUUGUUAGACAAAAAAAAAUCCUGCUCCAAACUAUAAAAUAUAAUUAAGCCCUUUUGAAACGAUGUGUAAAAGAACAUUGCUGUACCCCCACUUAUAACCACUACCACCACCACAACCAAUAAAGUUAAAUCAAGCACUGCCUGUAAUGGAUUAAAAUAAUAAAUGUUCCUGGAUUUCAGUGAAGUGCUUGAAGAAAACAGGCUUCCAGCAGCCAGAGUAGCUGAAUGUAGGAAAGACAUUUAUUAAUGAUGAGUUCAAGGAUGUGGCCUGUGUAAUAUCAUUGCUUUCUGUUUACCGUGUGCUACACAGCUCUUGUAUUUUACACAGCCCACAUGUAUCGAUAUACAAUGAUGAAAAGAUUUUUUGUUUUAGCAAAAGAAUUGUUAAUUGUAUAAAUAAGACUCUUUAGGGAAUCUUCAUCGGACUGUUUCUUUUUGAUAAGAAAACCUUUACUGUAUUAGUCAGGGUUCUCUAGAGUCACAAAACUUAUGGGUAGUCUCUAUAUAGUAAGGGAAUUUGUUGAUGACUUACAGUCUACAGUCCAACUCCCCAACAAUGGUCAGCAGCAGCUGUGAAUGGAAGUCCAAGGAUCUAGCAGUUGUUCAGUCCCACAAGGCAAGCAGGCAAAGAAGAAAGAAUCUUCCUUCUUCCAGCAUCAUUAUGUAGGGCUCCAGCAGAAGGUGUGGCCCAGAUUAAAGGUGUGUACCCCCCACACCUCUGUAAAUCCACCUUCAAACCUUAUCUCUAACAAUAUUAGCUUAUUUCUUAUUACCAAAAUUACCAGAUUGUGAACUUAAUCUAAUUUCUUUGCUAGAAUGCUUUUGACAUAUUUUUACCAUAGUUCAUAAUAGUGGUGCUUGCCUGUCCUAUGAUACCAGCGGGUGGUGAAGCUGCUGCUUUCUGUUUCAAUUUCUCUAAAUUUGGUUGCAUCUGGAUAAAAACAACUGAUACACGCUUCACACAUAAUAACAUCAAAACAGUGCAUUUGAAGAGAAGAACGGGAGCCUUUAAGACAAUAAAAUUGCUAUCAGGUGACAUGAAUUUCAUUGAACAAAAGGUUACUGUGGAAGAAAGGUUCCAGCCCUAGUAAUUAAAUACUAGAGACAUUUUUCUAGCAGCCUUCCUUUUCAUCCUAAUGAUAACAUCUGUUAGUCUAGUGGUCUGAGAAAUGGGUGUUCAUUAAGAGUUCCAGCCCUGAGAUAUGGGAAACUAGAAGGCUACAAAUAAAUCUACCCUGCUCUGUGCAGUUGUUUUUCUGAAAGUGUUGAGUUCUGCCUGUGGCCACAGCAAAUUGCCCUCUUAUUCACAUAAGUGAGAGAGCUGUGUGCUAGAGAGAUUAUUGGCAAAACAAGCCUGGCAGGAAUUAAUGAAUGAAAAUAUAUGAGGUAGUCUUUUAUACCCUAGCGGGUCCCCUAGACCCGUUGGCUGUGUUAGUAUAACAUGCUGAGGCUGUGCAAGAGAGCUGGGGCAGGAAAGCAUUUAUUUACAGUGCUGUUACCACUUGCAGAAUGAACUAAGAGCAGUGUUUGUAAAGCAGCAGAGUACUUGAAGCAGAUUGACAGAGUCUGCAUGCCUGCUACUUAUUGGCCUCUUCUUAAAUCUUCUCUCCCUCUGUCAACUAAACUAGGCCACUUGAAUAGUAAAUGUUUGAGCUAAAAUUUAUUUUUCAAGAUGUACUUUUUUUUAGUCAAGAACCCCUUUAUCCUUUCCUCUCAUAAAUCUUAUGGCCCAAACAUACUACAUUUAAUAUUUACUCAAUAGCAAUGAUACCAACUUGAUAGAAUAGUAACUACAAAUAAAAACUUUAGUUAGUCUCCAUAGCCCUAGUUUCACAUUCCUGACUUGUAGCUUAUUUGAAAAAUUAAAAUGAUCUCACGGACUAUGAGUACUGUGUGCCACUAAUGUCAGUGAAUCCUGGAAUUAAACCCAGUGCGCUAGUCUUAACUGUUUCAUAGGGUUAACCCUGAAAAGGUAGACUUUUGUUCAAGGACAUUUUGAGGUAAAAUGGACUUAAAUGGCUUCUGGUUUUUCUGAUGUAUCAGACUUUUAUUGUGUAGACCAAGACCAGUUUCUAAGCCACCACGGUCAUUUUGCUUUCAACAGUAAGCUUAUAUGCAGUCUUCACCUAUAUGACUAGCUACAGAAAUCACCUCAGCAGGCAUGAUAGGACACACCUGUAAACCCAGCACCUGGAAGAUAGAGGAGGAUCUGGGGUUCACAGCCAGUGUGGGCUACGUAGUGAGACCUUGGCCUCCCAAAACACAGACCCAGCAGAACUUUCUUCAUAGAAAUUAGCUAUUGUGUCCAUCUAAGAAACUUUACAGGUAUCUUUUAUCGUCCUUCCUUCCUCUCAAAGAAGGCUGUCAUUUAUUAUUCAGUAUGUGGUUGUAGUACCAGGAAAAUGUUGGUGAGCCCCCCAAAAACAGACAGGAACCAAUCUGAUGCAGUCACAUCAGGGUCUUUAUUCUAUUCGAGCUAGCUCCGGGGCCCUCCAGCACAUCACCAUUAUGCAGGACGGUUUUGGUGGUAGGGGAGCCCCAAAUGUCUAUUGGGACAAGGCUUUAUGUUUAUAGUAAGUAGCAAGUCAGGGUGAGUGUACAAGCAUCUAAUUGGAAAGCUGCUGUGGCCUUUAACACAAUUGGCUGCUGCUGGGAGUCAUAUCAUAAACUUUAUAUCUGUUCCCCUCUGCAUUGGUGAUCGCUAGGCAGGGGAUGGGCUUGUAACCUGAGGGUGCAGGUUUGUUGAGGGAAUAACCUAGAGAUACUGGUCUUGUUGAGGGUGUGGCCUGGAAAGGCUGGUCUUGUUGGGGAUUAACCUAGAGCCUGGAGUUAGACUCAGGUUUUGUUGGGGGUCAACUUGGAAUCUAAUGCUAGGUACUGGCCUGUUAGUUUACCUGAGUUCAAACUUAACUUAGGUUCUCUAAAAUUGAGUCUGAGCUUAAAAGAUUUGGCUUCUCAUGGUCAGAUGUACCAGUCUGCUUCCUUAAAACAUGCCCAUAUGAGCCAGUCAAAUCUUAGUUUCCUAAUACAUUCCUAUAGUAUAAGAAAGCAAACAUGGUGGCCAACUAGAGGAGGAUAGCGAUCUUCCAUCACUUCAUGGUGUUUGCAUUUUAAUUUUCCAAGACUUCACAAGUAUAACUUUCCUAGACAAGGAUAGAGUAUGAACAGCCAAGGUAGAAAGAUGUUUCUUCUUUCAUGUGAAAUUCUCCUUUGAUCUUUUAGCUUUUCAUUGAUUCUUUGUGUAUUUCACAUCAUGUAUCCCAGUCCUCCUUAUCUUCCCAUCCCUCCAUAUCCAUCCUGUGCCUUUACAGCCUUCCUCUCAAAAGAAAACAAAGCAAUACCCACACCAACACCUCACUAACGAAGCUACAGUGUUCCCCACAGUGUAUCCUUUUGCCCAGAUAGCUUUACUUGCAAAUGAUCAUUGCAUUUAGUCAUUGGUCUGGUUCCAGGCUACAGUAUCGAUUCUGGAUCUACACUGGGACUCCAUCUGAUAAUCCUCUUUUCUUGUUUCCCCAUGUUAUGGAGAUCCUGAAGCCCCUUCAUGUGCUCCUGCAGUUCAUAAAUGGGUUAGAUGUUGGGGUGGGCCAACUCAAAGCCCUGGAUCUGAGCCUGGGUGGUAGCUGAGUUAGUUGGUCAGCUCACCAGCUUUCUUGUGCCCAUGCCACCAGGACCAGCUCUCCAGCUCUGCCUGGUCAAGGGGUGGGGCCAGUUCCACCACACUGUUCAGGUGGGAGUGUGGCAAGCUCUCCCAUCUGCAGCAGGUAAUGAAGAGCUAAGCAAACUCUGGCACCCAAACCACAGCAGAGCCAGCUCACCCACCGGCUACAGGUGGUGGGACUGGGGGAUAGAGGUGCCUGCUCAUCCCUGCCAUCAGGCCAGCUCUACUGUGCUGCCCAGGGAGGGCCAGGGACAGCUCUCCCACACUCACUCCAUCAGGGCUAGCUAUUCUGGACCAGUGUCACCAGAGCCACCACUCCCAUGCUGCCCAGGUGAGGGGCUCUCUCACUGCAGGCCAGCUCAACACAGUGCUCAGACAUCAGCGUGGACUCAGGCUGCAGCCCAGACCACAGACAUCUGGAUGGCCUUCAGUGGCAACACAGGCCACAACCAUCAGCACAGACCCUGGCUGCAGUAGGACCCAGACCCAGACCCAGCCCUUGGCUGCAGCACAAGCCCAGACAUCACCAUGAUAUACAACUCUUUCUCACAACUGUAGCUUCUCCAGUUCCACCUCCUCUUCAGUGCACUACUUGUCUUAACUCUCUCUCCCAUCUCUCUACCACAUUCUGCUCAUCAUAGUUGCAGCAGCACUUGCGUCUCUUCCACCAUCAUCCCCUGGGGUAGGUGUGGGGAGGUGGCAAGUGUUUGGGUGUCUCAGGAAAUCUUAUGUUCCUAGUUUCUUACAUUCAGAAGACCAGGCUUGUAUUAAGGCCAGGAUCCAGUCUUAUUCUCUAAAUAGGACUGGAUAAGAGGUCUUGGAGACUGAAGUUCUUCCUACAAGAAAUUAAAAGAUAUCUUGGAGAAAGGCCACCAAACUAGGUCUCACUUCCUGCUCUCUUGUUCUGGACACUGUUUCCCUUUGGUCACUGAACAAUAGAUAUAGUCCCUUGUUUCACUGCAUUACUUUAUUGAGUGUUUUUACUUAAGAUAUUAAUAAGCAUAAGUGUUUACAUAAGCUUAUUGCAAACUUGAGUAUAAGUAGGAUCCAAUCAUUUUACACAUUCUGUUUGAGGAUGGAAAACAAGCUGAUUUUGUUUUGGGGUUUUUUACAACCAAGUGCUAUAUUUUAUGUGCUUCACAAUAAUUUGAAGGAACAUGAAAUGGAAAGAUUUUGGUUUUAGGGGACUUAGUCGUAUUUUUGUAGAUUAUACUUAAAAGAUUUUUUUCUUCCAUUUUGAGGCAUUCUGAUCUUUGCCUGUUAUGCUAAUUUGCUUCUGGAUGUUUCUAACAUAUGCUUGCUGACUUUUAGUGGCCCACGAUUACUUCCAACUGGAUUAAAAACAAACAAACAAAUAAACAAAACCUGCCUCCGCUCUGCUCACACUUGUGGUCAUUGAGUACUCUCCCAACAGGACUCAGGAGCUGGGAUAAGGUUGUUCGGUGCAGACGGGAUGUGGAGAGGAGAACUGUUACAUUGGGCUCGUCAUCCUGAUGCCCACAGGCUAGCCAUGCUUUUAAAUGGUUUUCCAAACAAAUGGUUUGCAUUUAUUGGUCCUCUAAAGGAGUAGUUUAAAGGUCAUAAGACUGUUUGUUCCUUGAAUGCAAUUUUUAUACUCACUGCAAAGUAUGUCUGCAAACAAAGCUAAAUGUCCAUUUCCCACUUCAGGUAUUUCUGACUAUUCCUCAGUGCUGUUAUACCUCAUUGACUCUAAUUAAAUAUCUGCCAUUGUUUUUUUGUUUGGUUGUUUUGUUUUGUUUUGUUUUUUAUUAAUCAGGGUUCUCUAGAGUCACAGAGCUUAUGGAAUGUCUCUAUAUAUUAAGGGAAUUUAUUGUUAUGACUUACAGUCUGCAGUCCAACUAACCCAACAAUGGACAGCUGUGGAUGGAAAGUCCAAGAAUCUAGUAGUUGCUCGGUCCCAUGAGGCUAGUUAUUUCAGCUAGUCUUCUGUAGAAGUAGGUUCCAACAGAUGGGCUGGCAAGUAACUGCAAGUAGGUGAAGGAGAAAAUCUUCCUUCUUCCAAUGUCUUUAUGUAGGCCUCCAGCAGAAGAUGUGGCCCAGAUUAAAAUUGUAUGCCACCACACCUGGAUCUGAGGCUUGCUUUGUCCCAGGCUGACCUUGAACUCAGAGAUCUGCUUGCCUUAGUCUCCUGGAUUUAAAGGCAUGUACUACCUUGCCUGGGCCUAAGCUUCUCAUGGCCACUCUGCCUCAAGAUCUCCAUGCCCAAAUCCAGGUCAGAAAGUUGUGUCUUCCAGCCUCAAGAUCUGGAUCACAGGUGUGCCCUCCAAUUCUGACUUGUAGUUCAGUCCAGACAUAGUCAAGUUGACAACCAGGAAUAGCCAUUACAGUCCACUCCUUGUCAACUUGAUACAAAUCCUAUCUCAUGCCCAAAUGAAACAAUAACCAGGUCAUGAUACACCUAACAUGAUAUAACUAUUCCUUAUACAAUCACAAAUGCACUUGUAAGUUUAGACUAGGUCAAUGUCCCUUGGGAACAUUCUUUUAGUAACUCAAAUACUGAUUGAUAUUAAGGAAAUUGGAAGAAAGCACAAAUAUCUAUACAAAAGUGUUCUUAACAACAUAAAACAGAACAUUCAUAUUUCUUUAUAAUCCUUGUUUCUGCAACUGGCUUUAGAUGAUAUUUAUAACUACCUUCCUCUACUACCCAUUCUGUAUUUUCUCCACCCUCUGCAAGUACCUCAUCAGGUCUUGGCUCUUUUUCUAGAGCAGUGACCCAUACCUUCAUUCCUGAUAGGUCUGUGCCCUCCUUUGUCAUCCUACUUGGAUUGGGCAAUCCAAUUUCCCCAUGGUAAUCUAUCAGCCCUCUAACACUGUUAUUCCUUUCUUAGCCUGUUGGUUUAAGGGCAUUAAAAGAUAGAGAACUUCAGACCAAUUUCUCUUAUGAAUAUCGAUGCAAAAAUCCUCAAUAAAAUUCUCGCUAACCGAAUCCAAGAACACAUUAAAGCAAUCAUCCAUCCUGACCAAGUAGGUUUUAUUCCAGGGAUGCAGGGAUGGUUUAAUAUACGAAAAUCCAUCAAUGUAAUCCAUUAUAUAAACAAACUCAAAGACAAAAACCACAUGAUCAUCUCGUUAGAUGCAGAAAAAGCAUUUGACAAGAUCCAACACCCAUUCAUGAUAAAAGUUCUGGAAAGAUCAGGAAUUCAAGGCCAAUACCUAAACAUGAUAAAAGCAAUCUACAGCAAACCAGUAGCCAACAUCAAAGUAAAUGGAGAGAAGCUGGAAGCAAUCCCACUAAAAUCAGGGACUAGACAAGGCUGCCCACUUUCUCCCUACCUUUUCAACAUAGUACUUGAAGUAUUAGCCAGAGCAAUUCGACAACAAAAGGAGAUCAAGGGGAUACAAAUUGGAAAAGAGGAAGUCAAAAUAUCACUUUUUGCAGAUGAUAUGAUAGUAUAUAUAAGUGACCCUAAAAAUUCCAACAGAGAACUCCUAAACCUGAUAAACAGCUUCGGUGAAGUAGCUGGAUAUAAAAUUAACUCAAACAAGUCAAUGGCCUUUCUCUACACAAAGAAUAAACAGGCUGAGAAAGAAAUUAGGGAAACAACACCCUUCUCAAUAGCCACAAAUAAUAUAAAAUAUCUCGGCGUGACUCUAACGAAGGAAGUGAAAGAUCUGUAUGAUAAAAACUUCAAGUCCCUGAAGAAAGAAAUUAAAGAAGAUCUCAGAAGAUGGAAAGAUCUCCCAUGCUCAUGGAUUGGCAGGACCAACAUUGUAAAAAUGGCUAUCUUGCCAAAAGCAAUCUACAGAUUCAAUGCAAUCCCCAUUAAAAUUCCAACUCAAUUCUUCAACGAAUUAGAAGGAGCAAUUUGCAAAUUCAUCUGGAAUAACAAAAAACCGAGGAUAGCAAAAACUCUUCUCAAGGAUAAAAGAACCUCUGGUUGAAUCACCAUGCCUGACCUAAAGCUUUACUACAGAGCAAUUGUGAUAAAAACUGCAUGGUACUGGUAUAGAGACAGACAAGUGGACCAAUGGAAUAGAAUUGAAGACCCAGAAAUGAACCCACACACCUAUGGUCACUUGAUCUUCGACAAGGGAGCCAAAACCAUCCAGUGGAAGAAAGACAGCAUUUUCAACAAUUGGUGCUGGCACAACUGGUUGUUAUCAUGUAGAAGAAUGCGAAUCGAUCCAUACUUAUCUCCUUGUACUAAGGUCAAAUCUAAGUGGAUCAAGGAACUUCACAUAAAGCCAGAGACACUGAAACUUAUAGAGGAGAAAGUGGGGAAAAGCCUUGAAGAUAUGGGCACAGGGGAAAAAUUCCUGAACAGAACAGCAAUGGCUUGUGCUGUAAGAUCGAGAAUUGACAAAUGGGACCUAAUGAAACUCCAAAGUUUCUGCAAGGCAAAAGACACUGUCUAUAAGACAAAAAGACCACCAACAGACUGGGAAAGGAUCUUUACCUAUCCUAAAUCAGAUAGGGGACUAAUAUCCAACAUAUAUAAAGAACUCAAGAAGGUGGACCUCAGAAAAUCAAAUAACCCCCUUAAAAAAUGGGGCUCAGAACUGAACAAAGAAUUCUCACCUGAGGAAUACCGAAUGGCAGAGAAGCACCUGAAAAAAUGUUCAACAUCCUUAAUCAUCAGGGAAAUGCAAAUCAAAACAACCCUGAGAUUCCACCUCACACCAGUGAGAAUGGCUAAGAUCAAAAAUUCAGGUGACAGCAGAUGCUGGCGAGGAUGUGGAGAAAGAGGAACACUCCUCCAUUGUUGGUGGGAUUGCAGGCUUGUACAACCACUCUGGAAAUCAGUCUGGCGGUUCCUCAGAAAAUUGGACAUAGUACUACCGGAGGAUCCAGCAAUACCUCUCCUGGGCAUAUAUCCAGAAGAUGCCCCAACUGGUAAGAAGGACACAUGCUCCACUAUGUUCAUAGCAGCCUUAUUUAUAAUAGCCAGAAACUGGAAAGAACCCAGAUGCCCCUCAACAGAGGAAUGGAUACAGAAAAUGUGGUACAUCUACACAAUGGAGUACUACUCAGCUAUUAAAAAGAAUGAAUUUAUGAAAUUCCUAGCCAAAUGGAUGGACCUGGAGAGCAUCAUCCUGAGUGAGGUAACACAAUCACAAAGGAACUCACACAAUAUGUACUCACUGAUAAGUGGAUACUAGCCCAAAACCUAGGAUACCCACGAUAUAAGAUACAAUUUCCUAAACACAUGAAACUCAAGAAAAAUGAAGACUGAAGUGUGGACACUAUGCCCCUCCUUAGAAGUGGGAACAAAACACCCAUGGAAGGAGUUACAGAAACAAAGUAUGGAGCUGAGAUGAAAGGAUGGACCAUGUAGAGACUGCCAUAUCCAGGGAUCCACCCCAUAAUCAGCUUCCAAAUGCUGACACCAUUGCAUACACUAGCAAGAUUUUACUGAAAGGACCCAGAUGUAGCUGUCUCUUGUGAGACUAUGCCGGGGCCUAGCAAACACAGAAGUGGAUGCUCACAGUCAGCUAAUGGAUGGAUCACAGGGCUCCCAAUGGAGGAGCUAGAGAAAGUACCCAAGGAGCUAAAGGGAUCUUCAACCCUAUAGGUGGAACAACAUUAUGAACUAACCAGUACCCCUGAGCUCUUGACUCUAGCUGCAUAUGUAUCAAAAGAUGGCCUAGUCGGCCAUCACUGGAAAGAGAGGCCCAUUGGACACGCAGACUUUGUGUGCCCCGGUACAGGGGAACGCCAGGGCCAAAGGGGGGGAGUGGGUGGGUAGGGGAGUGGGGGUGUGUGGGUAAGGGGGACUUUUGGUAUAGCAUUGGAAAUGUAAAUGAGCUAAAUACCUAAUAAAAAAAAAAUAAAAAAAUAAAGAUAUGCUACCACAUCCAAAAAAAAAAAGACAGACUGAAAGAAUGGGUGCAAAACCAGGAUCCAUCCUUUUGAUGCCUCCAAUAAUCUCACCUCAAUAUCAAGGAGAGCCAUUACCUCAGGGUGCAUGGUUAGAAAACAAUAUUCCAAGCAAAUAGAUCCAUGAACCAAGUCAUUAUAGACAUUUUAGUAUCUAACCAAGCAGACUUCAACCCCAAACUAAUCAAAACAGAUGGGAAAAAUGACACUACUCAAAAAAGGAAAACUGCACCAAGAAAAAAAAAAAAAAAAAAAAAAAAAAAAAAGCCCAAAAUGACCAGGGAGACAUCUGUGCUUCCAGUUCAAUGGAAUGUUUUUUGUAGUUCCUGGUAGGAGCACUCCCCCCUCUAAAACCAAAACUUCUAGGCCAGCAGAGCCUAGGGUUGUGGGGACAGGAAGCAAAAAAUUUCUGAGGUUCACUAGGAGUAAUAGUGAGUAGAACUAUUCCCUUUUCCCCUUGAUUUCUGGACCCAUGGAUCUUGGCUAUGGGAGAAACUGUACCAUAUAUUAGAUGCUGAUUCAAAGCAUAACUGCCUUCUGAAGAACUCUGCCCCGUCCUCCAUGCUGCUGCCACCUAAUUGGCACUGUAACUGCAUCUGCAAAAGGCUGUUACAUCUAUCAGACCAGCUGCUUCAGGAUGGUGGAGAACAUAGUAUGGGCCCACUGUCAUACUUCUCUGGCUGUGAAAUGAGUUCCUUGGUCAGAAGCAAUACUGUGUGGAAUACCAUGACGAUGGAUAAGGCAUUCUGUGAGUCCAUGGAUGGUGGUUUUGGCAGAAGCAUUAUGUGCAGGAAAGGUAGUACUGUAACCAGGGUAAGUAUCUACUCCAAUAAGAACAAAACAUUGUCCUUUCCGCAGAGGAAGUGGUCCAAUAUAGUCAACCUGCCACCAUGUUGCUGGCAGGUCACCUCAAGGAAUGGUGCCAUAUCUGGGUCUCUGUUGUUGACAGAUCUGGCAUUCAGCAGCAGCUGAAGCCAGGUCAGCCUUGGUGAGUGGAAGUCCAUGUUGUUGAGCCCAAACAUAACUCCCAUUUUGACUACCAUGGACACUUUGUUCAUGUGCCCAUUGAGCAAAGACAGGGCUGGCUGGGGAAAGAGGCUGAGUGUCUUCUUAUCCACUUGAUUAUUGAACUCCUCCUCAGCUGAAGAGUCACCAUUUGGUGAGCAUUUACAUGGGACACAAAUACCUUUACAUCCUUUGCCCAUUUAGAGAUAUCUAUCCAUACUCAACAAUUUUCCAAUCGUGAUCUUUCCAAGUCCCUGACCAUCCAGCCAAUCCAUUGUCUACAGCCCAUGAGUCAGAGGACAGUCAUACAUCUGGCCAUUUCUUCUUCUAGACAAACUGUAGUACCAUGUGUACUGCCUGAAGUUCUGCCCACUGUGAAGAUUUCCCUUCACUUGUGCCUUUCAGGGUUGUCCCAGAGAGGGGUUGUGAUUCUACAGCUGUCCACUUCUGGGUGGUGCUUGCAUAAUGUGCAGAACCAUCAGUAAACCAGGUUCUAGUCUUCUCUUCUUCAGUCAGCCAAUCCUAGGAAACUCCCCAUGAGGGUAUAGGUGCAUGCUUGGCAGCAGAUGGCAAUGUAACAGGAGUAGAAGAGACCAUAGGCAUUUGAGCAACUUAUUCAUUAACUUCAGGACCUGCUUGGGCACGAUCACAUAUAUACCACUUCCAUUUGAUAAUAGAUUACUGCUUUGUACUUUAUGACUUGGAGGGUCUGAUAACACCCAGAUCAUGAUGGGCAGUUCAAGUUGCAUGGUAACUUGGUGUCCUAUUGCCAAACAUUCAGUUUCCACUAAGUCCCACCAAUAGUAUCUUCUAGAUCUAUAACCAGACUCAAGGCAAAGCAGGCCAGCCUGGGACAGAGCAAGUUCUAGGUGAAGAAAAGCUUAAAUCCAGGCAUGGUGAUACGUGCCUCAUGCAGAUGUCUUCUGAGUUCAAGGUAAAUCUGCAGAGCAAGUUCUAGGACAGUCAAGCUAGGCUGUGAAGGAGUUGGAAAACAGAAAGCUGGUGAUGAUGUAAUAGAACAAGGCAGGGCAUGUUCUGGCCCCUACAAGCAGCAGAGCUUUGGCAGCUUCGGCCAACAAAGGCCCAUAAGGAGUGGCACUGUUAGGAGGAGUGGCCAUAUUAGAGGAAGUGUAACACUGGAUAUGGGCUUUGAGCUUUCAGAUGCUCAAACCAGGCCCAGUGUUGCUCUCUUCCUGCUGCCUGACCUUCCAGAUGUAGAACUCUCAGCUCCUUCUCCAGCAUCAUGUCUGCCUGCAUGUUGCCAUGCUCCCACUAUGAUGAUAAUGGACUGAACCUCUGAACUGUAAGCCAGCCCAAUUAAAUGUUUUUCUUAUGAAGAAUUGCCUUGGUCAUGGUGUCUCUUCACAGCAAUAGAAACCCUAAGACAAAAGGUCAAAAAGAAGUGAAACCCCAAAAGUAGUAGGUAUUUCUGCCAUCCAGGUUUUGGCUUCUGCAUACCAUUCUUCAGCAUCCAGGUCUCUGGAGAAGUGGCUAAUGCCAGAGGGGAAAUGGGAGAAAUACAUUGAGGUUGGAGAAUAAAGAAGAUUAUCCCCAAAUGACAGAAGUAGAUCAAAAAUACUAACUUAAAAGGGCCCAGUGAGCAAAGUUGGCUUAAUUUAAGCAACAAAUAAUAAUAGUGAAUAUUUACUUAUAAGGUGAGUAUUAGUGGUUCCAUACUAAUACAGAUACAACCUGUAAAACGGGGAACGAGAAAGCUCAUGUAUACCAUUCCUACAUAAGGUAUGUUAUGUCUACAAACUAGCUCAAAGAAAGGCCCAACAAUUUAUUUUUUUUUAAAAAUGGCAAGCACAUGAGACUGUACACGGAAGGAUAGGAGCAUUAAAGGUUCCAUGUUCUGGACUUCUACGACACAGAAUUUCAAUUUCAUUUACUCAGCACACUCAGUAACAUAGAAAUCAAUUAUCAAGAUUUUAGACAGUGAAUCAAAAACAAGAAAAUCAAAACAAUAAGCUGAGAUCUUAAGUAAUAGCAUAAAUAGGUCAAAACAUAGAAAUAAGAUAAAGUAGAAUCUGUGGUAGAAUGAACUGAAAAGUACUCAGAAGAAAACAUGAGCACAGAGCAACAGAUUAGGACAGAGGGCACGUAAGAGGCACAGUGAAAAGAUCUAACAUAACUGUCUAAAGGAACAGAGACCAAAUAGUUAAACCUGAGUACCAUAGUCUUUGAGGCCAAUUAACCUUCAUUGUUGUACACAACGGCAUAAUAUGUAGGAAUGAAUAAGGGCAGUUCUAAUAAAACUCUAUUAACAAAAUCUAGAAGCUCAUUUGAUUAAGUCAGGGAGCCACACAGUUGCUCAAUCUUAGUCACAUCUUUGGGAAAUUAAGGUGCGAUAUUAGUGUUAGAGGAUAAGAUACCGCAUACCACUUUAAAAAGAUUAACAUUCUUAACAUAGAAUAGAGGCUACAGAUGAAAAAAAAAAAAGGAGUUAGAAAAAAAAGGAAAAAACUUUAUUGCAGUGUACAACUUAGGAUAUCAUUGUGAACCUGAUGAACAGUGGUAAACAUUAUGGAAGAAAGAAAGAAAGAAAGAAAGAAAGAAAGAAAGAAAGAAAGAAAGAAAGAAAGAAAGAAAGAAAGAAAGAAAGAAAGAAAAGAAGACAAACAAAUGUUAAACUGCCUCCAAAGCAUUGGAGAGCAAAAGGAAGGGAUAAGCUCCACCCUGGAAUUCAGAGAGAAGCAAAAUGCCUCAUGAGACUGGAAAGAGAUUGGUAACAAGAGGGCCAGAAGGCAGAUUUCUGAGUUCCAGGCCGGCCUGGUCCACAGAGUGAGUUCCAGGACAGCCAGGGCUACGCAGAAAAAACAAAAACAAACAAACAAAAAAAAAGAGGUCCAGAGUAAGCAAAUAGAUUUAAGACUAGUUAGGAUGUGUGAGUCAUAAUAGGAUCUGUCAUGCCAUCUCAUCCAUGUAUAUAAUAUACUUCAGUUAUACUGCAUUCAAACAGGAAUGCAAAAUAAAGAGCUUCAAAUGAGCAAUUGAUGGAAAAAAUAAAAAAUAAAAACAAAAAAACAAAAAAAAACCUCAAGGUAAUUGUAAAAAAGUUUCAGCAUUACAUGUUUGAUAAAAAGAUUUAAGAAAUUGAUUUCUUAACAUGGUAACUUUUUAACAAGCUGUAGCCCACACACUUGUGGAUCUCAUGCCUUCCAUGGAGUUUUUAAAGAUGUGUAUCUUAUUUCUACAGAAAGUACAUAUAACAUAUGAAAUUUUCAAUUCUCAUGCCUUCCAUGGAGUUUUUAAAGAUGUGUAUCUUAUUUCCACAGAAAGUACAUAUAACAUAUGAAAUUUUCAAUUCUCCACAGAACUGUAAAGUCAGUAUGGGUACUGUACUUUGAAAAGGCAUACAUUCCUGGGCCUAAGGUGUUUCUUAAUCUUUCAUCUUUUUGCAGGAUCAAAUAGCAUUAGGAAAAUAAGUCCUGGACAUUACAAAUCUGGCUUGGUGAAAAUCAGUUUUCAUAAUGACAGUUUAGAAUAUGAGUUUCUUGGGAGGAAAAUGAACUGGCCACUUGCACCCAUGCUCUAAGUAUCUUGAAGUCUGUUGUAGACUUUAUGGAAAGAUUUGAUACACACUCCUACUUCAAGUUCAAAAGGAAACCUACAUUUUAAGGUGUAUUCCUUUUCUGGGUGUGUUUACUUUGAAGUAUAGCAUACAGGUUUUUCUCAUGAAUCUAACCUGCCACUAUCUAUUUUUAAGACUGUAAACCUCAGGUGGUUAUGAUGUGUGAAGUUUGGAUUAAGCUAAAGUUAUUAGAAAGCAUAUGUUAUGUAUUUUGAUUGUUUUUAAUUUUAACAUGGAGCAGCCCAAAACUUGAGUGUCUAGCAAAGUAACAUACUGUACUCUUGCUGUAAGAAAUCACAGAAAAUUGCCCAAUCACAUCAUGUUAAUAACGGACAAAUGAAGCAGCUGUUCUUAUUAUUAAUGUACUUGUUUGAAAACUUGCACAAUUUCAUGGAACUGUCUUUGCUCAUAAAACCUAAACUUCUCACACAUGGAAAAAGCCAUAAUGUUUUGGCAAAUACCACUUUCUUAGGAAUGUGAAUAUCUACCUGCUUCAUAACUAGAAUUCUAUAAUAAUGACAUGAAACUGGUGGAAAGCCAACUGGGAAUGGCCUGGCAAGGAAGAAUUAGCACUGUUUAAAAAUAUACCUAGUCCUUUUCCUAACCUCUGUGUGUGUGGGAGGGGGGUGGGGGGUGUGAGAGGGAGAGGGAGAGAGAGAGAGAGAGAGAGAAAAUAUGAGUAAUUACACUGUGCACCCUUUCCAUGUCUCUC
Molecule: RNA transcript, 21159 nt
Organism: Mus musculus (house mouse)
Lineage: Eukaryota; Metazoa; Chordata; Mammalia; Rodentia; Muridae
Gene name: RIKEN cDNA 9130002K18 gene
Exons: 1
Source: RefSeq, a predicted model, not a curated record